GACGAACGCUGGCGGCGUGCUUAACACAUGCAAGUCGAACGGAAAGGCCCUGCUUUUGUGGGGUGCUCGAGUGGCGAACGGGUGAGUAACACGUGAGUAACCUGCCCUUGACUUUGGGAUAACUUCAGGAAACUGGGGCUAAUACCGGAUAGGAGCUCCUGCUGCAUGGUGGGGGUUGGAAAGUUUCGGCGGUUGGGGAUGGACUCGCGGCUUAUCAGCUUGUUGGUGGGGUAGUGGCUUACCAAGGCUUUGACGGGUAGCCGGCCUGAGAGGGUGACCGGGCACAUUGGGACAGAGAUACGCACCAGGCGCCGACGGGAGGCAGCAGUGGGGAAUAUUGCACGAUGGGCGGAAGCCUGAUGCAGGAACGCCGCGUGCGGGAUGGCGGCCUUCGGGUUGUAAACCGCUUUCGCCUGUGACGAAGCGUGAGUGACGGUAAUGGGUAAAGAAGCACCGGCUAACUACGU
Molecule: ribosomal RNA, 467 nt
Filed under: uncultured bacterium
Lineage: Bacteria
Description: partial 16S ribosomal RNA
Rfam family: Bacterial small subunit ribosomal RNA
Source: RNAcentral